This 482-nucleotide ribosomal RNA is filed under the name uncultured bacterium. Its description in RNAcentral is "partial 16S ribosomal RNA". It matches the Rfam family "Bacterial small subunit ribosomal RNA", at positions 28 to 507 of the family's 1533-position model. The record is from RNAcentral.
GACGAACGCUGGCGGCGUGCUUAACACAUGCAAGUCGAACGCUGAAGCUCAGCUUGCUGGGUGGAUGAGUGGCGAACGGGUGAGUAACACGUGAGUAACCUGCCCUCUUCUUUGGGAUAACGCCCGGAAACGGGUGCUAAUACUGGAUAUUCACUGAUUCUCGCAUGGGGGUUGGUGGAAAGGUUUUUUCUGGUGGGGGAUGGGCUCGCGGCCUAUCAGCUUGUUGGUGGGGUGAUGGCCUACCAAGGCUUUGACGGGUAGCCGGCCUGAGAAGGUGACCGGUCACAUUGGGACUGAGAUACGGCCCAGACUCCUACGGGAGGCAGCAGUGGGGAAUAUUGCACAAUGGGCGAAAGCCUGAUGCAGCGACGCCGCGUGAGGGAUGGAGGCCUUCGGGUUGUAAACCUCUUUCGCUCAUGGUCAAGCCGCAGCUUUGGGUUGUGGUGAGGGUAGUGGGUAAAGAAGCGCCGGCUAACUACGUG